RNAcentral lists this ribosomal RNA (368 nucleotides) under uncultured bacterium. RNAcentral's name for it is "bacterial SSU rRNA". It matches the Rfam family "Bacterial small subunit ribosomal RNA", at positions 551 to 916 of the family's 1533-position model. The record is from RNAcentral.
AUACUGGGCGUAAGGGUCGCGUAGGCGGUUUUGUAAGUCAGAUGUGAAAUCCCGGGGCUCAACCCCGGAAGUGCAUUUGAUACUGCAGGCUUGAGUAUGGGAGGAGGUGUAGUGGAAUUCCUGGUGUAGAGGUGAAAUGCGUAGAUAUUGGGAGGAACACCGGUGGCGAAGGCGACUUCCUGGACCAAUACUGACGCUGAGGCGCGAAGGCGUGGGGAGCAAACGGGAUUAGAUACCCUGGUAGUCCACGCCGUAAACGAUGAAAACUAGGUGUAGGGGGUAUUGACCCCUGCUGUGCCACAUCUAACGCAUUAAGUGACCCGCCGGGGGAGUACGCCCGCAAGGUUAAAACUAAAGGGAAUUGACGG